GCGGAUGUGGUGUAGUUGGUUAACACGCAAGCCUGUGGAGCUUGAAAUCGCGGGUUCGAGUCCCGCCAUUCGCU
Molecule: transfer RNA, 74 nt
Filed under: Candidatus Woesearchaeota archaeon
Lineage: Archaea; Nanobdellati; Candidatus Woesearchaeota
Description: tRNA-His
Rfam family: tRNA
About the family: Transfer RNA (tRNA) molecules are approximately 80 nucleotides in length. Their secondary structure includes four short double-helical elements and three loops (D, anti-codon, and T loops).
Source: RNAcentral